AGUUGGGUGCAGUGAGCAGCGAGAUUAAAAUUUCACCCCGCUGGAAGUCACAGUUACGAGAACCCAAGACCUAAUCUGCUGGCAAAAAGAAAAUGGGAGUCUCGCCAUCUUGCCCAGGCUCAUUUCAAACUCCUGAGCACAAGCGAUCCUUCAUCUUGGCGUCCUGAACUGCUGGGAUUAAAGAGACGGGGUUUCACCAUAUUGGGCAGGCUGGUCUCGAACUCCUGACCUCAAGCGAUCCACCCGCCUUGACCUCUCGAAGUUCUGGGAUUACAACUGUGAACCACUGCACCCGGCCCAUAAGUUAUUUAAAUGAUGGAAAAAUUCUAUAAAGAGAAAAUUCCACCUCCUCUACUGUUAGUGGUGAAGCUCACAUAAGAAAGGUCAAAAGAACUCAAGAGCCAAUUUGAGGACAUUCUGAUUAGCUAAAGUAUGACAAUCUGAGCAUCAGUAAGAUCAUCAAUUACAAACCAUUUUGAAAAAUCGUAUUGCUAGUGAUAAUCUUGGUAUUGCUAUUCUGAGAUAGUUGAGUUUGCAUUGUGAAAUAAAGCAAAUAUGUAUUUAUUUGAUAAUCUGAUUCUGUCAUUCUUGGUGUAAAUAAGAAAGGGGAUUCGUGGCAUGGAAAAAAUGAAAUAAAGUUAUAAGUUGAACGUGUUAAAUAAAAUUAUAACACCUGAUAUGGCAUGAUUUCAAAAUGUCCACAAAAAUUCAUAUUAGCAUAUAUUUAUGUUCCUGAAUAUCAGUAUGCACUCAUGACUCAGUCUGUGCACUAAAAUUCCUAAAAACAAUCACUAAUCCAAGCGAAAUUAGCAACCCUAAUGCCCAGAUGGUCGUCUGUCAACACCACUUUUCACUUAAAGGAUGCAGUAAGCCUCCUCAGAAAAACAGUCGUUCCCCCAGAACGACAAACUGCCUUUAAGAGUCAUUUCUU
This 931-nucleotide long non-coding RNA is filed under the name Homo sapiens (human). RNAcentral's name for it is "HSALNT0066300". The record is from RNAcentral. Lineage: Eukaryota; Metazoa; Chordata; Mammalia; Primates; Hominidae.